AUUUGUUUUACAAAUUAUUUCUCUUUCUUUCUUUACUUCUCCUCUUAUUACUCUAUCUUUACUUCUCCCCUAUUACUCUUUCUUUACUUCUCCCCCUUUUUGUUACUCUAUUUACUCUAUCUUUACUUCUCCCCUAUUACUCUUUCUUUACUUCUCCCCCUUUUUGUUAUCAUCAAAUAGGUACAUGGAAAAAGACACAAUAACAAACAUUCAAACUUCAUUGAUCAAAAUAGGAACAUUUUAGUACAAUCAUGCCAAAAACAAAAGCAAAUAUAAUGUUCCUCAAUCAAGGUUCAAAAUACAUGAUCAACACAAAAUACAUAUGAGAACUAGAUACAUAUCCUAGGCUCUAAACAAGAUCGUGAGACUCUUCCGAAUCGCUUGGCUACGGCUCUCUUGGGUCCCAUUUCUCCAAGAUAUGGCCGGCGGUAUCAUUGCUGAGUGAUCGCUCGCUAUCUGGCUUGAAAAGGUGGUCCGGAAGCUUCCUCUCUCCCAGCAAGCAAGACGAGAUGAG
Molecule: long non-coding RNA, 514 nt
Filed under: Phoenix dactylifera (date palm)
Lineage: Eukaryota; Viridiplantae; Streptophyta; Magnoliopsida; Arecales; Arecaceae
Description: long non-coding RNA (PDAC_LNC022814)
Source: RNAcentral